RNAcentral lists this ribosomal RNA (544 nucleotides) under Fusarium solani. RNAcentral's name for it is "partial 28S ribosomal RNA". It matches the Rfam family "Eukaryotic large subunit ribosomal RNA", at positions 91 to 658 of the family's 3401-position model. The record is from RNAcentral. Lineage: Eukaryota; Fungi; Ascomycota; Sordariomycetes; Hypocreales; Nectriaceae.
GAGUGANCGGCAACAGCUCAAAUUUGAAAUCUGGCUCUCGGGCCCNNNNUUGUAAUUUGUAGAGGAUGCUUUUGGUGAGGUGCCUUCCGAGUUCCCUGGAACGGGACGCCAUAGAGGGUGAGAGCCCCGUCUGGUUGGACGCCGAUCCUCUGUAAAGCUCCUUCGACGAGUCGAGUAGUUUGGGAAUGCUGCUCUAAAUGGGAGGUAUAUGUCUUCUAAAGCUAAAUACCGGCCAGAGACCGAUAGCGCACAAGUAGAGUGAUCGAAAGAUGAAAAGAACUUUGAAAAGAGAGUUAAAAAGUACGUGAAAUUGUUGAAAGGGAAGCGCUUGUGACCAGACUUGGGCUUGGUUGAUCAUCCGGGGUUCUCCCCGGUGCACUCUUCCGGCUCAGGCCAGCAUCAGUUCGCCUCGGGGGAUAAAGGCUUCGGGAAUGUGGCUCUCUCCGGGGAGUGUUAUAGCCCGCUGCGUAAUACCCUGUGGCGGACUGAGGUUCGCGCAUUCGCAAGGAUGCUGGCGUAAUGGUCAUCAGUGACCCGUCUUGAA